UCUCAUUCUCCUCCCUCUCUCUCCAAUUAAUCUCUGCCGGCUCUUCUAUCUCUCUCCAUUGCAGCAGCCAUGAAGCUCCUACCCGAAGAAACACACACCGUGAAGCUCCUCUCCAUAGCUCUGCGGUCCUUUCUACAAGUAGCUGCGAGGCGUCAUCCUCUCUUUCUCUCACUGCAUCUCUCCCUCCAAACAUGUCUCUGAUCGCAAACGAAGAUUUCCAGCACAUUCUUCGUGUUUUGAACACGAAUGUGGACGGGAAUCGAGAUAUGAUCUUGUGAUGUUCGGUUAGGGUUCACUGAUUUUGAUAAUUAAUCUUGAUACUGGUUAGUGAUUUGGGGAAUCUGAUCGGAUUGUAUGCUCAAUGGCACUUGCGUUUGCUCCCUUACUAUUCGUUUGAUCAGUUCAUACACAAGGUGGAACAAGUAGGUGCCACCAAGCAUGUAUAGGUGAAUUAUGGAUGAAUUUGGAUGGUGACCUCUCUCCCACAUGUUUGAAUAUCUUGCCAUUACUUUCCUCUUCCUCACAGCUAUAAUGUUUUCAUGUCUUUAUUGCUUAACUACAUUAUAUCAUUUGUUUGAAAUUUAUAUUCUCAUGGCAAGCAGUUCCUGACAUAGCAUGUGUUGGUACAGGUCUUCAUCCUCUUUACAGAUUCUUCCUGCUAACUUUCUAUUACUCUUUGCUGUGAGUCCUUGAUCUCAUUGAACUCUUUCACAGUACUUACAAUUAGAAUUAUGAUUGGCAGAUCAUGGUUGGUAGCUAUUUGUUUCAAGAUCCUUAGUAGAUCGAUCCAGGCUACUUAUCAUGGUUCCCUACUUUGGCAGGCUAGGAAUGUGAUGUUGGCUUCGGUCCUGGGAGCGGCAUUUUGUUUCCCUCUUGAGUUUGGAGAGUGAGAAGAGGACCCCAUCAUCAUCUAGCAUAGGGCUUUUUGGAUUGACCUAAGGUGGCAACCAUCAGAAACCAUCUUCUUAGCGCAUUAGUGGUUCAUUCUAUAU
Long non-coding RNA from Magnolia sinica, 992 nucleotides. RefSeq lists it as uncharacterized. The transcript has 6 exons. The record is from RefSeq and is a predicted model, not a curated record. Lineage: Eukaryota; Viridiplantae; Streptophyta; Magnoliopsida; Magnoliales; Magnoliaceae.